AUCAAGGUGGAGAUCAAUCGAUAUGAUGGGAAGAACAAUUUCUUCCUAUGACAAAGGUGAAGGAUGUGCUCAUUCAAUAGAGGUUGAUCGAUGUUCUCUUGUGUGAGGAGAAACCGACUAUCAAAAAAGAUACCAAUGGGAGCCCAGUAUGAGGUAGAGCUCUAGGAGGAAGAAGAUUAGGCACAAAAUAGGAGACUCAAAGGGAUGAUAGGCAACAUUGCUAGGAGGCUACCCCA
This 236-nucleotide long non-coding RNA is filed under the name Elaeis guineensis (African oil palm). RNAcentral describes it as "long non-coding RNA (EGUI_LNC074399)". Lineage: Eukaryota; Viridiplantae; Streptophyta; Magnoliopsida; Arecales; Arecaceae. The record is from RNAcentral.